GAUGAACGCUGGCGGCGUGCCUAAUACAUGCAAGUCGAGCGAACAGACGAGGAGCUUGCUCCUUUGACGUUAGCGGCGGACGGGUGAGUAACACGUAGGUAACCUACCUAUAAGACUGGGAUAACUUCGGGAAACCGGAGCUAAUACCGGAUAAUAUUUCGAACCGCAUGGUUCGAUAGUGAAAGAUGGCUUUGCUAUCACUUAUAGAUGGACCUGCGCCGUAUUAGCUAGUUGGUAAGGUAACGGCUUACCAAGGCAACGAUACGUAGCCGACCUGAGAGGGUGAUCGGCCACACUGGAACUGAGACACGGUCCAGACUCCUACGGGAGGCAGCAGUAGGGAAUCUUCCGCAAUGGACGAAAGCCUGACGGAGCAACGCCGCGUGAGUGAUGAAGGUCUACGGAUCGUAAAACUCUGUUAUUAGAGAAGAACAAACGUGUAAGUAACUGUGCACGUCUUGACGGUACCUAAUCAGAAAGCCGCGGCUAACUACGU
RNAcentral lists this ribosomal RNA (496 nucleotides) under uncultured bacterium. Its description in RNAcentral is "partial 16S ribosomal RNA". It matches the Rfam family "Bacterial small subunit ribosomal RNA", at positions 28 to 506 of the family's 1533-position model. The record is from RNAcentral.